This 398-nucleotide ribosomal RNA is filed under the name Anomaloglossus baeobatrachus. Its description in RNAcentral is "partial 16S ribosomal RNA". It matches the Rfam family "Bacterial large subunit ribosomal RNA", at positions 1822 to 2422 of the family's 2925-position model. RNAcentral also lists the same sequence under 1 other name. The record is from RNAcentral. Lineage: Eukaryota; Metazoa; Chordata; Amphibia; Anura; Aromobatidae.
CUUGAUUAAACCAUAAGAGGUCCAGCCUGCCCAGUGACAUUGUUCAACGGCCGCGGUAUCCUAACCGUGCGAAGGUAGCGUAAUCACUUGUCCUUUAAAUGAAGACUAGUAUGAAUGGCCCCACGAAAGCUAUACUGUCUCCUUUUUCUAAUCAGUUAAACUAAUCUCCCCGUGAAGAAGCGGGGAUAAACAUAUAAGACGAGAAGACCCUAUGGAGCUUCAAACAACUGAAACACUUGUAUAUCCUCCCCUCACCUGCCAACAUUUAACCUCACAUUUUGUUUCUAGUUUUAGGUUGGGGUGACCACGGAGAAAAAACUAACCUCCACGACGAAAGAGACAUCUCUAAACAAAAAGCCACAUCUUUAUGUAUUAACACAUUAACCUUUAUUGACCCA